RNAcentral lists this unclassified non-coding RNA (746 nucleotides) under uncultured Chaetothyriales. Its description in RNAcentral is "sequence contains 5.8S rRNA gene, ITS2, 28S rRNA gene". The stretch from base 335 to 746 matches the Rfam family "Eukaryotic large subunit ribosomal RNA", at positions 1 to 418 of the family's 3401-position model. Lineage: Eukaryota; Fungi; Ascomycota; Eurotiomycetes; Chaetothyriales. The record is from RNAcentral.
AACUUUCAACAACGGAUCUCUUGGUUCUGGCAUCGAUGAAGAACGCAGCGAAAUGCGAUAAGUAAUGCGAAUUGCAGAAUUUCCGUGAGUCAUCGAAUCUUUGAACGCACAUUGCGCCCUUUGGCAUUCCGAAGGGCAUGCCUGUUCGAGCGUCAUUAUCAACCUUCAAACCCCGUGUUUGGCGUUGGGCCCAGGUCGUGCUCUCCCGCGCGACCGGCUCCAAAGACAAUGACGGCGUCCGUGGGACCCUCGGUGCAACGAGCUUUUUCCAAAGCACGCGUCGAAGCGGAUCUGCGGGGGCCGGUCUCUGAUGAAUUUACAUCACUUCUCAGGUUGACCUCGGAUCAGGUAGGGAUACCCGCUGAACUUAAGCAUAUCAAUAAGCGGAGGAAAAGAAACCAACAGGGAUUGCCUCAGUAACGGCGAGUGAAGCGGCAACAGCUCAAAUUUGAAAUCUCCUUCGGGCGAGUUGUAAUUUGUAGAGGAUGUUUCGGGCACCGCUCCGGGUUAAAUUUCUUGGAACAGAAUGUCAAAGAGGGUGAGAGUCCCGUCUUGGCCCGCGGUAGGACCCACGUGAAACUCCUUCGACGAGUCGAGUUGUUUGGGAAUGCAGCUCAAAAUGGGUGGUAAAUUUCAUCUAAAGCUAAAUAUUGGCCAGAGACCGAUAGCGCACAAGUAGAGUGAUCGAAAGAUGAAAAGCACUUUGAAAAGAGAGUUAAACAGUAUGUGAAAUUGUUGAAAGGGAA